RNAcentral lists this long non-coding RNA (402 nucleotides) under Ananas comosus (pineapple). RNAcentral's name for it is "long non-coding RNA (ACOM_LNC039431)". The record is from RNAcentral. Lineage: Eukaryota; Viridiplantae; Streptophyta; Magnoliopsida; Poales; Bromeliaceae.
UGGCGGGUCUGGGCACGCACCGGGCAGGGCCUUUGCCGGGUCCCGGGGCGUGACAGAUUAUUUUGGUAUCAGAGCCUAGGGUUGAGUCUUAGUGGACCUAGCGAACCUUAGGCUGGUCGGACUAUAGGAAUUAGACUCGUGAGAGACGAGGUCUAUUUGAUUUAUGAGCGAAAGUAUCAUGAUUGGGUUUCUUUGAUAACUUCAAAAAGUUGGAGUUCGAUCGAAGUGUAUGGCUUCUAACUCCGCGGAGGGUUACGUUGGCGGCCGACAACGUAACAUCGGGAAUUAGUAGCUGGGACACUUCUUUACUUUCGCAUGAUCUGGGGUAUUGUUAUUUGAGCGGGGUUGCGAUAGCGUGUGUUAUAUUAACUUGCGCUUUUAUGAUGAUGUAGUGUUGAUGCC